GCCAACGCCCCACUGCACUCUAGCUUGGGCGACAAAGCGAGACUCUUGUCUCAAAAAAAAAGUUGCAUCCUAAAGUUGAUUUACUCCAGCAUUCGUUAAAGUGGUGUCAGGGAGUGUUUUAUACUCCCUAACUACCUAUGUUUAGUUGACCCAAAUAACUCUUUAGGGCCCAUUUCUCAUGGCAGGCAGUAUAAUGGUGGUUAAGAACAGGAGCUCUGGGAUUAGAAUCUCAACAGUAACUACAAAUUUAAAUUCGCUGUGAACAUUAAAUGAGAUUAGCCAAGAAAAGUGAAGACAACUGGAAAAGCAUUGCAGUGACCUAAGGCAAAACAAACAAUCUAAUAUAUAUGUCAUUGGAGUCCCAGAUAAACAAUGGAAAACUGGGAAAGAAAAUAAAAUGUGAAGAAAUUAGGGUUGAUAAUCAGCAAAUUUGGAGAAAUACAACUUACAGAUGCAAGAAGGUCAGCAAACCUCCAAAGAGAAUAAAUGCAAAGAAAUUUACAGAGCAAAUUCUUGGAAGCAGUCCUUGUUACAAUGUGACAAAUUUCCAAUUCAAAUAAUUUUUUUUUUCUAAAGCAUACUACCUUUAAG
This 591-nucleotide long non-coding RNA is filed under the name Homo sapiens (human). Its description in RNAcentral is "HSALNT0307897". The record is from RNAcentral. Lineage: Eukaryota; Metazoa; Chordata; Mammalia; Primates; Hominidae.